AAACAAUGACUCCCCUUUCCCUUUCUACUCUGAUAAAAGAGAACACUGACAACCAAAAGAACCCCCGUGUCUUUUCUUAUAUAUCACAUAAAGAGAAGAAUAAAGCAAAGGUAAACAAGAAACUUACUAGACAGAAUAAAUUUCUGACAAGACAGAAUUUGGUUUCACAACAUUGACACUUUAGCUAUCUAUUUGUUUUCAGAAAUGAGAAAAGAAUACUGCUUUUGCAUGUCAAGCUCCCCAACCAGAAAAUUCAAUAAACCUUGUAGCUUAUUGUCAGGACUUGCAACCAUGUAACCUCGUGAG
Molecule: unclassified non-coding RNA, 306 nt
Filed under: Hevea brasiliensis (rubber tree)
Lineage: Eukaryota; Viridiplantae; Streptophyta; Magnoliopsida; Malpighiales; Euphorbiaceae
Source: RNAcentral